GAGUAAUGUCUGGGAAACUGCCCGAUGGAGGGGGAUAACUACUGGAAACGGUAGCUAAUACCGCAUAACGUCGCAAGACCAAAGAGGGGGACCUUCGGGCCUCUUGCCAUCGGAUGUGCCCAGAUGGGAUUAGCUAGUAGGUGGGGUAACGGCUCACCUAGGCGACGAUCCCUAGCUGGUCUGAGAGGAUGACCAGCCACACUGGAACUGAGACACGGUCCAGACUCCUACGGGAGGCAGCAGUGGGGAAUAUUGCACAAUGGGCGCAAGCCUGAUGCAGCCAUGCCGCGUGUAUGAAGAAGGCCUUCGGGUUGUAAAGUACUUUCAGCGAGGAGGAAGGUGUUGAGGUUAAUAACCUCAGCAAUUGACGUUACUCGCAGAAGAAGCACCGGCUAACUCCGUGCCAGCAGCCGCGGUAAUACGGAGGGUGCAAGCGUUAAUCGGAAUUACUGGGCGUAAAGCGCACGCAGGCGGUCUGUCAAGUCGGAUGUGAAAUCCCCGGGCUCAACCUGGGAACUGCAUCCGAAACUGGCAGGCUAGAGUCUUGUAGAGGGGGGUAGAAUUCCAGGUGUAGCGGUGAAAUGCGUAGAGAUCUGGAGGAAUACCGGUGGCGAAGGCGGCCCCCUGGACAAAGACUGACGCUCAGGUGCGAAAGCGUGGGGAGCAAACAG
This 671-nucleotide ribosomal RNA is filed under the name uncultured bacterium. Its description in RNAcentral is "bacterial SSU rRNA". It matches the Rfam family "Bacterial small subunit ribosomal RNA", at positions 108 to 775 of the family's 1533-position model. The record is from RNAcentral.